Molecule: long non-coding RNA, 1615 nt
Organism: Taeniopygia guttata (zebra finch)
Lineage: Eukaryota; Metazoa; Chordata; Aves; Passeriformes; Estrildidae
Source: RefSeq, a predicted model, not a curated record
UCCUGGCGGAAGUGGCGGGCCGGCCGCGCGCGCCCCCCGCCGGCGGGAGGGCGAAUGGCCGCUGCUGGAACCGACGGGAGCGCGUGACCUUGUGUGGAUGGACGAGGAACUCCUGGACAAGCUUAGACACUAAAAGGAGGCCUAUGGAGGGUGGAAGCAGGAGCUGAAGCCUGGCAGGAAUACAGAGAGGUCGUCCAAGCAGCCAGGGAUCAGGUUAAAACCUCUGAGAGAAUUAAACAUCAAGAACAAAGAGAAAAGCUUCUGCAGGAUGUGCUCCAGCCACACUGCCCAGGCUGCAGAAGGGAAAGGCACGGCCUGGGAGACAGAAGAAUCACCUGCUGGUGAAGAUGGGGUUCAAGGCCAUCUAAAGCACCUGAAGGUGCACAAGUCCAUGCAACCUGAUCAGAUGUAUCCACACAUCCUAAAGGAACUGCUGUUUCCCUCCUCAGAGAUUCUCCAGCUUCUUCUACACCAUUCAUAGAUGACACAGGCCUUCCUGCAUUGUAGGUGUGUUUCCUUGGAGGGAAGCAAGAGGUUUGGGCACACUCCCUAUUUUUACCAGCUAUUUUUCCAUGCAAUCUUCGAGGCUGGAGAGCAGCAUGGGAAAAGCAGAGCUGUUGUGUUUUUACCACUAGACUGGAAACAUGCCUACCCUAGCACAAUGCUCCCUUCUUCCCACCUGCCGCUGCUCUGUCCUCUUUACUUUCGGCCCUUCCAACUGCAUCCUUGCAUGCAUGCUCACACCAAAAAUGCUCAAGGAGAGUAAAAACUAAUAGCCCUUAACCUCUGGUGCCUAUAAUUCAGCAAUGGCCUAAGGAACCUGGCCCCAGCUGCUAGAGAACCCCCCCAGGAGGAAGCACAUUCACAGCACAUCAGCUGUAGUGCACUUUGCCAAAUCAGAGUGACUUCUGCACGUCCAAGUGAGGAACAGCCCACAGGAGGCAGGAUGGAAAUCGCCCUUGGGGAUUUCACAAGGGUGCUGUGAAACACACACAACUCAGCUUUUCUGAGAAUUCAGCUGCUCAGCAGUGAGGCUUGUGCCACCACCUCUUCCCCCACAGGGUGAACCGAGGCUCAGGACAAGGAAUAGCCACGAUGGCGCUGGCAGAAACAGUGAGCUUGAGGCCCACAGGCAGAAAAUAAACCUGCUGAAAAAAAAAGAAUAAAUCAGCUUUGCAAUCAACAGAGGUGGAAGAGCAGGAAAUGGAGGGAAUUUCUUCCACGCAAGGUGGAAUUUGGAAAGACUUAGCUCAAAUCUAGACUCCACUGCCCAAAGGCCAAAAAGGUAUUGAUGCCAACCCAAACCGAGUGGAGCUCCAGCAACCUCUGUUCAUACAUUCAGAGACGCGCAGCUUCUGUGUUUGGCAGAACCAUUUAAUAGCAGAAUUGAAAACUCGGUAUGUUCCAUUUUAGUCUUAUGUGGAAAAUCAGUGCAGGUGAUAAUCUAAUUGUACAACAACAUGUUAAAAAAAUUUAUUUUACAUUAUAUACAUUAGGGAACAUAUUUCAAAGCAUUACCCAUCACAACAAUAACGCAGGCCAUAAAUCACUUUUAAUUUAGUUUGGUUUUAGUGUAUAUUAUCACAAUAAAAUAUAAAGAACAUAUACAAAAAAA